This 104-nucleotide small nuclear RNA is filed under the name Meriones unguiculatus (Mongolian gerbil). The record is from RNAcentral. Lineage: Eukaryota; Metazoa; Chordata; Mammalia; Rodentia; Muridae.
GUACUUGCUUCGGCAGCACACACACUAAAAUUGGAAUGAUACAGAGAUUAGCAUGGCCCCUGUGCAAUGAUGACAUGCAAAUUCGUGAAUCCUUCCAUAUUUGA